UUCAGUCAUGAUCAGAUUAAUAAUGAGAUUAUUGAAUAUGAAUAUUAGAAAGAAAUAUUGUCAUCUAAUUGUUUAGUCAUGACAUUUGGUGAAAACAAGAGGUAUAAACUUUUUUUUUUCCUUAUACAAUUGUCUCAACUAACUUACAAACUAAUACUUUUCAUAUCAGGGCAUUUGGUCUAGUGGUAUAAUUCUCGCUUUGGG
This 204-nucleotide long non-coding RNA is filed under the name Medicago truncatula (barrel medic). RNAcentral describes it as "long non-coding RNA (MTRU_LNC007817)". Lineage: Eukaryota; Viridiplantae; Streptophyta; Magnoliopsida; Fabales; Fabaceae. The record is from RNAcentral.